AAAAAAAAAACCCAGCUCAGGUUGAAGCAAUCAAGGCACAGCCAAUGAGGAACCGCGCUUAGCUACUAUAAAGGGGAAAUGCCUGCCCACCCAUGAAGGGAGUUUGCAGCAAGAGUUCUGGACAGAGCUGUGUUGAUGCAUCUUCUUUGUAUGCUUCGGUCUUUAAAACAAGAGCAAAGAAACUUUGGAGGUGUGGGGAACUCAUCACCUGCAAUUAUCACAAUCAUCUCUGCUUGUAACCCUUCCUUCUCAAAGAGCUGGAAACAGAAACAUGAAGAAAGCAUUCUGAAGCAUUGGUGGAGUAGCCUGGCUUGUUGAAUGAAGUACAUAAAAUCCAUGCUUCUAUCUCGAUACUGAAAGGUGUCCCUCACUUCAGUUCUCAUUCUGUAACACUGAAGGACAGUGGGAGGCAACCUGUUACAUCUUUUUCAGACCAUCCAUGCAGCAUUGUCUUGAGAACAACUUGAACAUUUCGUUCCUGUUAUCUGUGUCGAAAUCUCCAGAUCACCCCAAACCUCAUAUACUUGCAUAAAAUAAGUGGUGACAGAAGGAAGAGACUGAGAAUUCAGGUGGAGAGAAGAGAGGCAGUUCUUUAGAGUGAGAGAUACGUGACUCACUGGAAAAAAGAGAACUCAUUUUCAAGAUGAAAUGAAAAAAUGCCAUUACUGUGCUAAAUCAAAGAAAUUGUUAUUUUUGCUCUUUCUAAUGUGAAGCAAAAGCUGGACAAAUGCAAUUUUCAAAAGGAGAUCCUGCUCUCCAUUAUGAGUAUUCCUGGAAUCAGUAGCUACUGGUUCUAUGGCCAGUGUGAAAAAAAAAAAAAAAACAAAACAAAAAACAGAGAGAAAAUAAAAUUUUCCUCCUAUCUCUGUUCCACUCUCAUUUUAAUACAUCUUCAGACUAAAGCAGUGACAUCUCAUUUUCGACUGAAGACGUUUGGAAAUGGAUCUCCUAAAAAGAUGUCAGCAAACAGGCAAAUAAACACAGAAUGCAUAUCUAAGCUACUGGAUGUUUACAAAAGGUACUGCAGAAGGGAAAAUGUACCAGAUGAAAUGGAAAUUAUUUCAUGAAUCACCUCACGAUUUCACAGAAAUAAGGGAAGUAUUAUUACUGAUUAUUCUCCAUAAAACAAGUUUAAAAACAUACCAUCGUCUAAAAAGGAAAAGUGAAAGGUUUCUAAAUUGGAUAUUUCAAUAUUGCUAAUGAGAACGAAGUGAGCUGAUGAAUGUUGAAUCAUUCCUUGACAGUUUUUAAACAAAUAUUAUCAUUCAUUCUCUUUCCUGCAUCGACAGAUGAUGUUUCUUGUUCAAAUGAGGCUUCCUGACUUUUGAUAAAGGCUGCUGAAAAUAGCACUCCCCUUCCCAAGCUGUAUAUUCACCUCUAGCAUAUACUGACAUACUGACAGGGAAUGAAAAUUUGGGAUGCUCUGCAGUGUUCUGCCCUUUCAUGAAGGGUUUGUCUUGUGUGUGAAGUAUGAUGUACACCAUGGUAUCACUAUAUCACAUUACCCGGUGAUGAAUUUAGAAGCUGCCACUGCUGUCUAAUUCAGCAAUCCAUUUUGAAAUUGAGUAGCCUCUUCUCUCCCUUAAAAGUAGGGCAUCAUUAAAUUAAAGUAACCUAUUGUGUGCAGCAGACUAGGCAAGAAGUGGGUGAUGUUCUCCUGCCUUCAGCUGUCUGUCCCUGCCUGCUGGCUGCUUUCAAAUGGAGGAGACAAGUCUGAUGGGCUGCUUAAACUCGUUCCUUCACUUCCCUCCAUUCUUAGCCUCCACAGAGGGCAGACUUGGGACUGUAAAGAACAGCUGCUUACCUCACUGAUGCUUUAUAUACUGAUUUAAGUGUGUAUAUGCUCACUUUUAUAUCUUGUUUAUUCAUUACUGUGGAAGGCUAUAGGAAGUUGGAGGUGAGGAGAUGCUUUCCUGCAGGGGGAAAGUUGCAAGGUACAAGACUGAAAAUGGAUUUUGGAUUUGUGGAGCAGGCUGUGUGUAAGCAAAUGCACUUGGAUUCCGUGCUGGCUUUCUCCCGUUACACAGUUUUUGCAUUGUUCUUGAUCAAAAUGGAUGGAAAAUACUGAGGGUGUUCACUUGGUUUUGCUAUAAUUGCUAUAAACAUUCUAAAUAGUGCUUUGGUUAAUAGUCAGAAGGACAAAUGGGAAGGAAGCCAUCAGGUGGGUAGUCAGGUAGAGACACUUUGUUUGCGUUUACUGUAAGAGCACAUUGGAAAUAUUGUUAAUUUAACAUCAACCAUCUAAAGAUAGCACCAAUUCUAAUUUCAUCAGCAGGUGAGUGUGAAAAAUCGGCCAAUGUUUUCAAUGUAGAAGUGGAAAAAUAAAAAAAUAGAAAGCCAGUUAUGUAUUAAUUGUGAUAGAGCACUAUCUGAAUUUGAAGAGCUAGAAAUUCUGCCCAUUUCAUCGAGACUUGACCUAACAUUUCCCACUGCGAGUAGAAAAUAUUGAUAUAAUGCAUAGGAAUCAUUCUGUUUGUGGUGGGUUUUUGUGGUUGUUUGUCCUUUUCUUUCUUUCUUUUUUUUUACUAGCCGUUGCCCAUAUGGCCAGUUAAUUAUCCUUCUGCAGGCAGAAUUAUUUUAUUUAAUGAAUUUUUAAAUGUCAGUGACGUGAAAAACCAUUACUGUGGUUGUAAGUCCAUUACUCACCUUCAGCUUCUAUUUCCCAUCACCCCCCACUUUAGCUUUAAGGAGCAUCUGAAGUGACAGAGCUUUGAUUUCAGUUGAGAGUGCUGAGCACAGAAGUCUUACAAGUAAUACAUUAUUAAAAAAUCGUAGCAAGAAAAUUAAUUUCUACUAUCGUAUGCCAUGCUGGGUAUAUCACUUCUAACAAAUGACCUUUUUUUUUCAUAUAUUCAUUGGUAGAUUUACCAGGACAAAAUAAUUACUUUGUUUUCCACCUCUAAGAAAAAAAAAAAAGUCUUUUUCUUGUGCGUGUGUGGUUUUCUUGUUUUGUUUUUAAUUGAAAUAAGUACACAAAAUGGGUUCUAUAAGAUAAAAAGAAAAAGGAAAGAAAAAAGAAGGAACUGGAAAACCACACAGAAAUGAGGCACUGGCUCCCUGUCAUGUUGUCUGGUCAGUAAUAUUUCUUACUGUGAAAUUCCUGCAUGUUCGCAUGUUCAUGUUUAAAUCCUCCCAGAGAGAUUUUGCAUUGGAUCCUAGUUGAACUCAAGAAGGUAGAUGGUUAUGCGGUUUCUCAUAUUUCUUGCUUUUGAGAGGAACGUCUGUUUAUCCAGAGAGCCUUAUCUGGGCUUGGCGACGAGCACAUUCCGCAGCCAGAAGAAGGACCAGACAGCUAUACUCUGGACCACCUCAUUUCAGAAUUCUGCUUGAAGCACACUAAAGACUUCAGUGAGACUUUCUGACAGCGUGUGGUAAUGAAACUACCCCAUAAGGAGAUGAAAAACAAGAUAUACUCAAUGGGAGGAGCACAUGCUUGUACUUAAAUUCUUCUGUUUCUCCUUCAGUCAGAUGGGCAAAGGAAAAUGCUGUCCUAUCCCAAGAAAUGCAAAGGCAUAAUCAAGUAUGUCUGUGCCUCUCUUGCCAUUUUGAUAUUGGGAACUCAUCCAGCUGUGAACCAAUAGUCUUAUAUGGAAGAUCAGAACUGCUGCUCCUUCGCUUCUUGAUGUAGGAUCUCUCUAUACACAAGCACUGUGCGCGAGUCUUCCCCUUAAAACUUUGAGCACUGCAUAAAUUCUGCUGGUCAAGAGGCUCAGACUGUGAUUUCAAAAGGAACUCCCGUAUUUGUCAACACGUAGCUGAUGAAUGCUCACAGCUAAGAAGUGGUAUUGUGGAUCCCUUUCAUGACUUAUACCUAUAUUUAGUAAGUAUGGAUGACUAACUAAUCCUUUACUGGGAGCAGCUACUGCAAAAUGUAAGUAAGUGCAGAAAUCACCAUCACUGAAUAAAUACUGUGUUGAGUACAGGACGUGUCUUGCAUUAAUAUUUUUGGCCAUUAGAAAUAUUAGAGCAACAGUAGGUUUUAUCACUAGACUGGUUAUGUGUAACCUGUGUCACCUUCCUUUCUUAUCUUUAAAAAUUUCAAGAUGUGAUUUUAUUUCACAGCUGUGAUAACUGCAGAAUAAUCACACCAAUCACCAAGUUACUUGAAAAUAAGUAAGUAACAACAUGAGACAAACCUUAUCUUUACUACAAAGGCAUGCACAAGUUGCUCUAAAUUCUAGCUGGCACUUUACGCACCAAAAGGCUAAGAACUAUUCAAUCACCCUGCUCUUCCAGAACUUCCUUUACUGACUAAUAUAUUCUGGAGAGGUACCUGUGGGAGGAUUGGAGUGAGCCACUGCCUGCAGAGCUAAAUAACAAGCAUGAACACAAGGUACUCACCUAAACAUCCUCCAUGAAAAUGCAGCUGACACACUUGAGGGACGGGAUGCCAUUCGAAAGAAGCAUGGUGAGCAGGGCCAGGGAGAUGGUCCUGUCCUCUACUCUGCGCUGGCAAGGCCUCACCUGGAGUACUGGGUCCAGAUGUGGCGUCCUUUGUACAGGAGAGGCACUGACCUGUUGGAGUGCAUCCAGAGGAGGGUCACAAAAAUGAUCCAAGGGAUGGAACACGUCUCCUAAGAGGACAUGCUGAAAGAGCAGGGGCUGUUCAGCCUGGAGAAGAGAAGGCUCCAGGGAGACCUGAGAGCAGCCAUUCAUAUCUAAAGGGGAGCUACAGGAAAGAAGGGGACAGACUCUUUAGAAGGGUUUAUUGUGAUGGGACAAGAGGAAGUGGUUUCAAGCUAUAAGGGGAAGAUUUAUACUGGAUAUAAGGAAGAAGUUCUUUGCAAUAAGGGUGGUGAGGCACUGGAACAGGUUGCCCAGAGAGGUGGUGGGAGCCCCAUUCUUGGAGACAGUCAAGGUCAGGCUGGAUGGGGCUUUGAGUACCCUGAUCUAGCUGUAGCUGUCUCCGUUCAUUGCAGGGGUGUUGGACUAGAUGGCCUUUAACGGUCUCUUCCAGCUCAAAAAAAUCCAUUAUUCUGUGAUUUUCACCCAGCCUAGUAUCUUUCCUGACAGGCUGUGUAGCCCGGCAGAUAAAGGAAGCAAAAUUAUCCUUCUUGAAUGUUAGCUCUUGCUUAGCAUCUUGGCAAAACCAGUUGGCAAAUAAACCUUUGUUUGACCUUGGUAUGUUUCUCUGGAAGCUCUGUUUUUCUCCUCUGCACUCCCUUCUUUAAAUAGAAAGAGAGGUCUCGGACCAACAGAGCGCAAAGGAGUCACAGCAGGCACAUGGGGAGGGAGUCUCUGCUUCCUCAGCUCUGGAUACAUCCCAGCCUGACAUGAUUUGUCACCUUGUGUAAUAUAAUUCAGCUUAAGAUAUAAAUUCCUGUAAGCCUUAAGCUGUGCAGCCAGAACGGUGAUAAAGUAACAGAGAAAUGAAGAUUUACAAGACACAUCUAAGGUGUAAACAUGAAUAAAAUAAUCCACACGCGUACAUAGUAAAAUGCUGUAUUCCUAUGCUUGCUUUAUAUUCCCCACACAGUUCGAAGUCUGAUUUACUGCUCCUUACUGAAAACACACUCUUGCUUGAAUAGAAACUUGCUGAAAUUUCACAAUUCUUAUCACUACUCAGGAUUGCUACAAAUUUGAUUCAGUUUGGGUUGGUUUGCCUUAGAAAUUUCUUCUGUGGGAACAGAACAUUUGCACAAGUCGUAUACCCCCCUACGUAUACCAUAGGGCCAUUUUUGCCGUGCCUUCCAGCGCUGGCUGCUAAAUGCAUGGACUCUCAGCUGUG
This 5728-nucleotide long non-coding RNA is filed under the name Gallus gallus (chicken). Lineage: Eukaryota; Metazoa; Chordata; Aves; Galliformes; Phasianidae. The record is from RNAcentral.